CUUGCCUCUUGGACUGGGACAACUGUUGGAAACGACAGCUAAUACCGGAUAUUAUGAGAUUCUCGCAUGAGAAACUUAUGAAAGCUAUAUGCGCCAAGAGAGAGCCUUGCGUUCCACUAGCUAGUUGGUGGGGUAAUGGCCCACCAAGGCGACGAUGGAUAGCCGGCCUGAGAGGGUGAACGGCCACAAGGGGACUGAGACACGGCCCUUACUCCUACGGGAGGCAGCAGUGGGGAAUAUUGGACAAUGGGCCACAAGCCUGAUCCAGCAAUUCUGUGUGCACGAUGAAGGUCUUCGGAUUGUAAAGUGCUUUCAGUUGGGAAGAAGAAAGUGACGGUACCAACAGAAGAAGCGACGGCUAAAUACGUGCCAGCAGCCGCGGUAAUACGUAUGUCGCAAGCGUUAUCCGGAUUUAUUGGGCGUAAAGCGCGUCUAGGCGGAAAAAUAAGUCUGAUGUUAAAAUGCGGGGCUCAACUCCGUAUUGCGUUGGAAACUGUUUUUCUAGAGUACUGGAGAGGUGGGCGGAACUACAAGUGUAGAGGUGAAAUUCGUAGAUAUUUGUAGGAAUGCCGAUGGAGAAGUCAGCUCACUGGACAGAUACUGACGCUGA
RNAcentral lists this ribosomal RNA (610 nucleotides) under uncultured bacterium. Its description in RNAcentral is "bacterial SSU rRNA". It matches the Rfam family "Bacterial small subunit ribosomal RNA", at positions 125 to 749 of the family's 1533-position model. The record is from RNAcentral.